CGCGUAUUGAAGUUAGGAUUGUUCGCUUGUGGAGAAACUAUAACAAAGAAUCAGGAAACACCAUUGAAAUGGUUUUUGUUGAUAAAGAAGGGACAAGAAUUCAUGCUUCAGUUGGUGAACAACUCAU
Brassica oleracea var. oleracea is the source of this 127-nucleotide long non-coding RNA. RefSeq lists it as uncharacterized. The record is from RefSeq and is a predicted model, not a curated record. The transcript has 2 exons. NCBI's taxonomy places the organism in Eukaryota, Viridiplantae, Streptophyta, Magnoliopsida, Brassicales, Brassicaceae.